UCACAACCGUGAGCUAACAGAGGCUAACUAUAAGAGAGUUGGAGUGGACCUCUUGUUGAAGAACUUCUCCAGGCACUAUGAACCAUCUGACUAGUAAGAAAAACCUCAAACAUUCAGAAGUUUAUCAGAUAUUAAAAAUAUAUGUCAAAUAAAUAUCAGAUAUUUUUUGAGUCCUGUAUGUCUUACAAGGCCAUCCUGUUUAACACUGCACUGAGGACACUACAACCAGAGAGGUACAACAUAAUUCAGAAUGAGACACAGAUGAUAAUAAAAAAGUGCUUUGAAAUGAAAAUUAAUACUGGUAAGACAGAACCGAAUACUGUGACUGUGCCUCACUUCAAAGUGAAACAGUCUGUAAUGGUCAUCUGCCAUGCCAGAUCGAUGGUGAAGGUGGGAAUUAUAAGUAAGAAUUUUUAAACUUUAAAUGUAGUAAAGUGUUUGUUCAAGUAGACUUUGUUGCUUGUGGAAACCUCACACAAGCCUGAAAGGUGCUUUAAACUUAAAAUCUUAUUUGCACUCUUGAAAACUGUUCACCAAAGACUAAAUUUCAGUCCAGCAGAAUUUUCUGCACACUUCACCACCAAGAUCAAAAUGAGCAUUGUGAAUGUAAAAGUUUCACAUUACAUUUAUAACCACCAUUGUUAAUAUUUGAAUUAUAUUGAAUUAUAUUAUGCCUUGAUAGUGGACAAUACCGGAUUUUUUGACCAAACAUAUUUAGGGGUCAGAUCGCGCUAUACGUGGAGAAUAACGCACAUUUAAAAAAAAGGCAUUUAUCAGUUUUUGCAAAUGAACUUUUCACACUUGCCAUACUCCAACAGGAUGAACGCACUGACCAAACAAAACAAAAUUGGUGGCAGUGUGAAAUGACCAUAAUGCUGUAUGUUAGGUGUGAGAUUCAUUAAACUUGGUUUGCUAUAAUACAUCUAUUCAGAAGUGCACCAGUGUGAAUCAUAAUUUCCCCCACAUUUGCUGUAUAUCCAUAAAGUCAUAUCUAUUGCCGCGUUUCCACCGAAAUUACCUGGAACAAUUGUACCAGGAACUUUUUUCCCCAUGAACUAUUUUCCCCCACAGACCUGUUGCUUUCAGCGUUUCCACCGCGGUCUAAAGUACCGUGAAGAUUAGGCAAAUAGUCUGGUGACGUAAGCCUGCGCGUGUUUCUCAGUACAGAGUACGCAAAUUUUGGACUUGCAUCCUCGGUAGCUCGGACCUUGCGAGUUCGACUCGGGAGUGUGAUCUCCCGUGGACGAAACGACGCAAGUCUGGUAAUUCUGCAAACAACAGCGUACUUAACAUCAGUCAGCUCGCCUUGGCUACUGCAAUUUUCCUCACUGUAUAUUUACAAUAAAACGAAAUAGGCUAUGAUAUCAAAUACCACUGCCUCCUUUCGUUUUCAUUUAAACAUAAUAAUAGCCGCAGAAAUGUACUUCGAUCAGGGAAAUGUGUAUAUAUACAGCCUACAAUACAAUGAAAUGAAAUAUUAUAUCAAUUUCCUUUUUAUUUUCAUUUUAAAGGGUUAGUUCAGCUAAAAAUGAAAAUUAUGUCAUUAAUGACUCACCCUCAUGUCGUUCCAAACCCGUAAGACCUCCGUUCAUCUUCGGAACACAGUUUAAGAUAUUUUAGAUUUAGUCCGAGAGCUUUCUGACCCUCCAUUGAAAAUGUAUGUACGGUAUACUGUCCACGUCCAGAAAGGUAAUAAAAACAUCAUCAAAGUAGUCCAUGUGACAUCAGAGGGUCCGUUAGAAUUUGUUGAAGCAUCGAAAAUACAUUUUGGUCCAAAAAUAACAAAAAUGAUGACUUUAUUCAGGAUUGUCUUCUCUUCUGGGUCUGUUGUGAGCGCGACUGCUGUGACUGUUGACGUAUGACGCUGCUGACGUGUUUUCUGGUGCGCCCAAUAACAAAGAUAACACGUCAGCAGCGUCAUACGUCAACUGUCACAGCAGUCAGUCGCACAAUUGAAUGAAGACCAAAGAUUACCUGUUAGAUUUACACAAAACUGAUUAUAUUUUAAGUUUAACCACUAAAGAGACAUCAGAGCCAGCGGCACAUAUCAGAAGGACUAGCCGAGGUGAAAGUGCUCUAGGCGGAUACAUGAGCAAUGAGCUCCCACUGAUCACGUGGAGCUGACCGUCUCCAAAAUCGGCGAAACAGAAUUUUAAAUAGGCGCUGUCUUUAUAAAUAAACCACAGAUUUGAGUUUUCAACAACUACAUUCUCGCCUGAAAUACUUUUAAAACUACAUUUCAUGAUACAAUAACAGUAAUAUUUUGAAAAUUAUCCAAAUAAAUGGUGGUUGAAAUCACAAUGCUGCGUGAACUCAACCAAUCAGCAUGUUUAGCACUCAAGUCCCGCCCCCGAAAGUUCCGGACCUUUGAAAAAGUACUACCUCGUGAGCAGGGACUUUCUGAGGGGCAUUUUUCUACCCGGAACUUUAUUUAGAUCCUGGUUCCUGCUGUGGAAACACACCCAGCCCAAAGUCCCUAGUUCCUCGGUAAAGUUCCAGCGGUGGAAACGCGGCUUAUGUCCUAGUGUUCUUUCAGUGAUUAAGAUCCAAUAUUUUUUUAUGACGGACACAAGUUUCGGAGGCAUUGUGUAAACGUGAUUGACACAACGUGAGAUCGUAUUUAUUUUUUAAUGUGUGAAAAUAUCUGACUAUAAUGUGCAGUGACCUUAAAGGUUAAGGGUACAAACACUUGACCAGAAUCAUGUCAAGUGACAACUGACUAAUCCAAAUGUUUUUUAUCUUCUUGUUUUGUUUUGUUUUGCAGAUGCUGUCAUGAAAAGGCAACUGCUGGACACCUGGGACAGGCCAUCAAUUCCAAGUUGGCGAAACUGAGGUUUCAACUGAAGAAAAAGGAGACCUGUUAGAGUUUAGAGUUGUCUAAUAGAGAGGGUGAAGGAAGAACAUCCAAACCCUUCCCCUGGUUCCUUCAAGAUUUUUUAUGGAUUUAUAUAAUGGUGUUUUUUCGUAAAGUAAAGACAGUGGCAAAAUUAACAUGACACUACUUUGAUGUUUUGUUCUACAAAUUAAACUACACACACACACUCCAAAAACACCAAUUUUGAUACAAUUUGCAUUUGCAAGAAAAAAAAAA
Molecule: long non-coding RNA, 3091 nt
Organism: Cyprinus carpio carpio
Lineage: Eukaryota; Metazoa; Chordata; Actinopteri; Cypriniformes; Cyprinidae
Source: Ensembl